CAGUAGCCGCGGGAAUACGGAGGGUGCAAGCGUUAAUCGGAAUUACUGGGCGUAAAGCGCACGCAGGCGGUCUGUCAAGUCAGAUGUGAAAUCCCCGGGCUUAACCUGGGAACUGCAUUUGAAACUGGCAGGCUAGAGUCUUGUAGAGGGGGGUAGAAUUCCAGGUGUAGCGGUGAAAUGCGUAGAGAUCUGGAGGAAUACCGGUGGCGAAGGCGGCCCCCUGGACAAAGACUGACGCUCAGGUGCGAAAGCGUGGGGAGCAAACAGGAUUAGAGACCCCUGUAGUCCCUGUCUCUUAUAU
RNAcentral lists this ribosomal RNA (301 nucleotides) under uncultured bacterium. RNAcentral describes it as "partial 16S ribosomal RNA". It matches the Rfam family "Bacterial small subunit ribosomal RNA", at positions 509 to 809 of the family's 1533-position model. The record is from RNAcentral.